GCUGAAUGUGGGGAUAAUUUAUCUCCGUGUUGAAGCUAACGCGUUAAGCACUCCGCCUGGGGACUACGGUCGCAAGACUAAAACUCAAAGGAAUUGACGGGGACCCGCACAAGCGGUGGAGCAUGUGGUUUAAUUCGAUGCAACGCGAAAAACCUUACCACUCCUUGACAUGGAGAUUAGAUCCUUCUUAACGGAAGGGCGCAGUUCGGCUGGAUCUCGCACAGGUGCUGCAUGGCUGUCGUCAGCUCGUGUCGUGAGAUGUUGGGUUAAGUCCCGCAACGAGCGUAACCCUCAUCCUUAGUUGCCAGCGGGUAAUGCCGGGCACUUUAAGGAAACUGCCGGUGGUAAACUGGAGGAAGGUGGGGAUGAUGUCAAGUCAGCACGGCCCUUAUGGGGUGGGCUACACACGUGCUACAAUGGUGACUACAAUAGGUUGCAAUGUCGCAAGGCUGAGCUAAUCCGUAAAAGUCAUCUCAGUUCGGAUUGUCCUCUGCAACUCGAGGGCAUGAAGUCGGAAUCGCUAGUAAUCGUGGAUCAGCAUGCCACGGUGAAUACGUUCUCGGGUCUUGUACACACUGCCCGUCACGCCAUGGGAAUUGGCUUAACUCGAAGCUGGUGCGCUAACCGAAAGGAAAGCAGGCCAU
Molecule: ribosomal RNA, 644 nt
Filed under: uncultured Anaplasma sp.
Lineage: Bacteria; Pseudomonadati; Pseudomonadota; Alphaproteobacteria; Rickettsiales; Anaplasmataceae
Description: bacterial SSU rRNA
Rfam family: Bacterial small subunit ribosomal RNA
Source: RNAcentral